CGGUCAAGUGAUACUAAAACACCAGUUCUUGUUUGAUCACUGAAGUUAAGCAGUAUUGGGCCCAGUCAAUACUUAGAUAGGGAACUGCUUGAGAACAUUAGGUACUGCAA
Molecule: non-coding RNA, 110 nt
Organism: Acanthosepion pharaonis
Lineage: Eukaryota; Metazoa; Mollusca; Cephalopoda; Sepiida; Sepiidae
Source: the annotation of a GenBank genome assembly